GUGUGGUGCAGUGAUUUUAAGUGGCAGCAGAGGAUACUACAAUGUGAUCUCGACCUACUGGAGGAAGAGCCUGAGCUAGCCAUUUUCCAGGAGCUACAACCAGCUGUGAGCUCUGACGUGGAAAGAGCUUGAGGAAAGGGUCAUGUAACACGAAAAAUCUAGGUCUCCGGUACAAGGAUCCUCCGCCAAAUGAACCAGGACUUCUGGCACACCACGCGAAAUGGCGUACUGUCUACUUUUUAAUGGAUUUAAUGGAUAUUUGUUUGCAACACACAACGCAUUUCAGAACAUUGUCUUGGCGCACUUAAUUCCAUCCUUCUUUCUUGGGAAAAAGCGGACAAGCAAGCUGAGGGAAGCAAGGCACAGAGCUCGACAGUAACAACAAUGUAGUUCCAAGGAAGUAGACAGCCGGGCGAAGCAGAGGGAGCGAGCUGCCCUGCCGAGGAAGCGCACAACUAUAUCUGAAAAUUGGACAGCUUGACAGCCAAAGACCUUUUCAUAAACAAGCGCAGCUUCUGUGUCCUGAGAUUAGGACAACAACAGCACGGGCGAAAGGAGCGUCGCAUUAAGGUGCAGAUCCAAUACAAAUCUCUAAAUCCGUUUUGUCAUCGUCCUAAGCUAACAACUAUUUUGUGAGCUACAAAAUUGUGCAAAAAGACAAUCCCAAUCGCAAUCCCAUAGCAAAAGGGUGAAGAAUUCUGCAAGCUCUGUUGUCAGCCGAAAAUUCAAGUCUUGACUCCUGACAACUUCACAAAUUACAAUUUGGUUAAAUAAGCAGCGCCACUUAAGCAUCAACCUAUUGUAUAGCUAACAGGCAUAGCUAUCAAAUCACAUAUUUCGUGUCGGAUAAUUUAUUCUAUAAAUUCAUUCUUUGACCAAUUUGAUUAAAAUGGAA
Drosophila santomea is the source of this 895-nucleotide long non-coding RNA. RefSeq lists it as uncharacterized. The transcript is spliced from 3 exons. NCBI's taxonomy places the organism in Eukaryota, Metazoa, Arthropoda, Insecta, Diptera, Drosophilidae. The record is from RefSeq and is a predicted model, not a curated record.